UAGGCUUUUUUCCUCUUGUGACAUUUUCCUCUCUCUGUGUCCUGUCCUGGUUUUCCAAUUGCACAUAUGUAACUGCUGGACAUGGUCCUGAGUGCAGAGCUGGGGAGCAAAGGAGUAUUCACAGCCAGCUCAGAAUAUGAGGAAUGGCAAACAGCAUUGGAUCCUAGCAGACAGUGAAUCGUCUUUGCAGUUUCUUGACUGCGGAUGUCCCAGCCCGAGACUUUCAGAAACCCCAUUCCUGCAUCAGGGAAGUCUCCUGUCCUUUAAUGGGGUGCUUGUAUCUACACAAGAAAAGAGCCUGUCACUAGAAAGUCCGCCGGCCGGCUCUGGUUGUGAGCACGGCUUAGAAGCUACUCCCGUUCCUCGUAAGCGUCCGACUCCUGAUUUCAUUACCGACCACCGACGGACCCUGUCGCUUGUUUGCCACAAAACAAAAACAGGUGUUUUUUGCACCCGAAACAACACCUUCCUUGAUGAAUAUGCUCCGCAAUGUAAAGCACCAAGUACGCUGAGGGCUCCUGAUAUCGCGGGCCGGGCAGGCUCUCCUCGCUGUGAUGAGUCAGGCCAAGGACGUACCGUGAUGAGAGUCAGGCCAAGGAUGUACGGCGGAGGCUUCCUGAAGAUUUAAAAAAAAAAUCAUGGCCUUCAUCACCUCCUGCCUGGAAGGGCUUGGUGGCCUCCCACCGCUUUAAGCACCUCGUUCCGUCCUGCUUCACCCACUCGGGUUACGGCUUCCACUGCAUCAUGUGGCUCUCCGAAAGCCUCCCCAGCCGGAAGAAUCGAAUCCCGUCCCCUGCGGAGACCGUGCAGCUGGCCAUGGGUCAGGGGUACCUGUCACCGUGGAGAACCAGCAAGAGAAUGACAGAGCUAGAUGCCAGGAAUACUCUCUUCCUUAUCGUGAAUGAUUCCCAGGCUUUCCACCUGCCAGGACAUUUGGGACCAGGUGAAACUGUGGAAAGGUGCUCUGAGGAAUUCCCUUCCUUUUAAAAACCUCAAGAUCCUGCUUAGUUCACUACAAUUUGGUCUCACUGCCAAUAAUGAAAUUAUGCAACAAUUGUAGAAAAUCUUCCCCGGGACGAAGACUCUGCAUUGUGAUUUAUUUGUGUUUUCUCUAAUCUUUACCACAAACACAUCGCAUUAGUAACCUUACUCCCAACAUGUAGAGCUGAGCGGAGGCCACGGGGACAAUGUUGGGUUUAUACCGCUAACAGAGGCUAAGAGAGGACGGCCCCAGAAAUCAAGCUCAACUCUUCCUGUUGACAAAACCCAGACUCUUCCCAGUAUCUUUCACAAAACCCUAAAGGCUGGAAGCCUUUCCAUGUUGAUAUUCCUCAUUAUAUGCUUUUAUUCCCAGCUAAGUAGCCAUUAAGUCAAUAAAUAUGAAAAAAAAAAAAAAAAGCCCAUGAUGUAGCACAUUUUAGUCAUAAGGCCGCGGAAACUAGAGAUAAAACCUCUCACUUCAUACUCAUGGAAAAAUAAGUUCAGUGGAUCGUCCAACAUCCUAGAGGAGUCCAGGGGCAGGGGCAGGACUGGAACCCCAUUUUCUUGACACCAAAUCCAUUGUUUUCUCCCUCCGAGUAACAGGGCCCCCAGAGACGCGUCUUCUUUCUUCUUUACCGUCGGCUACCAGGUCAAGUUUGAACUUCCAUUGGCUUCCACACUUAGAAACGAUAUUUCACAUCCAUCCACAGCCACCACCUCUCCUGAAAUAAAGGGAAAAAAUAAAAAGGAAUUGGAGACUACUCUUCAGAGACUGUAAAUUUCCAUGGAAGCAUUAACACAAUCUAUUAGGUCACAUUAUCCUCAAUUGUGCAGAGGGAGGAAGCCUACUCCACAACGUGAUUUCACGGCGUUUUGAUGUGCGAUUUGCCCGACACGAUGAUGAACGCGAGGACUGAGUGAUGGGGGGCAUGCGAAGCCUACAGCUCUCCUGCGAGGUUUACUUCCCAGGCUUAAAUGAGCUCAGCGCUCACGAACGAUUUGCCUUGACACUGGAAUCCAAUUGGAGUCUGGAAUUACUGUAACUGUUUUCGGCUUGGGUGAUUUAAUCAGCAAAUCUUCAAUAGUGUAAUAUGCAUGUACCGAACGGAUUCCAGACUGAACAGUCUGAUUUACACACGCUCCUUGCAGACAGCCAUUUGUGGCAGGCGUGCUAGCAUCUGUUUGCCUGCAUCUUUGUGACGCAGAUGCCCGUGGUAAUGUGUCAGAACAACUGAAGUCUGUGCUUUAUAUCAGUAAGCCCAAACAAAGAGACAUACGCAGGGGACAAUUCAGCAGAGAGGGGUUUUUUGCCUUAUGAUUUUUUUUUUUCUUUUCCUAAGGACUCUCAAAAUCAUUCACUCACUUGCUUAACAAAUAAUCAUGUGUGUGUACAGCGUAUCAGGCAUUGUCCUGGGUCCAGAGAAGCAAAAG
Canis lupus familiaris (dog) is the source of this 2412-nucleotide long non-coding RNA. RefSeq lists it as uncharacterized. The record is from RefSeq and is a predicted model, not a curated record. The transcript has 5 exons. NCBI's taxonomy places the organism in Eukaryota, Metazoa, Chordata, Mammalia, Carnivora, Canidae.